Molecule: non-coding RNA, 29 nt
Filed under: Mus musculus (house mouse)
Lineage: Eukaryota; Metazoa; Chordata; Mammalia; Rodentia; Muridae
Source: RNAcentral
UGACCUUGAACUUGUGAUUCUCCUGCGUC